This 434-nucleotide ribosomal RNA is filed under the name uncultured bacterium. RNAcentral describes it as "bacterial SSU rRNA". It matches the Rfam family "Bacterial small subunit ribosomal RNA", at positions 28 to 507 of the family's 1533-position model. The record is from RNAcentral.
GACGAACGCUGGCGGGCAUGCCUAACACAUGCAAGUCGAACGAAGCCUUCGGGCUUAGUGGCGCACGGGUGCGUAACACGUGGGAAUCUGCCCUUCGGUUCGGAAUAACAGUUAGAAAUGACUGCUAAUACCGGAUGAUGACGUAAGUCCAAAGAUUUAUCGCCGAAGGAUGAGCCCGCGUAGGAUUAGGUAGUUGGUAGGGUAAUGGCCUACCAAGCCGACGAUCCUUAGCUGGUCUGAGAGGAUGAUCAGCCACACUGGGACUGAGACACGGCCCAGACUCCUACGGGAGGCAGCAGUGGGGAAUAUUGGACAAUGGGCGAAAGCCUGAUCCAGCAAUGCCGCGUGAGUGAUGAAGGCCUUAGGGUUGUAAAGCUCUUUUACCAGGGAUGAUAAUGACAGUACCUGGAGAAUAAGCUCCGGCUAACUCCGUG